RNAcentral lists this non-coding RNA (122 nucleotides) under Clunio marinus. Its description in RNAcentral is "Eukaryotic large subunit ribosomal RNA". It matches the Rfam family "Eukaryotic large subunit ribosomal RNA", at positions 864 to 985 of the family's 3401-position model. The record is from Rfam by way of RNAcentral. Lineage: Eukaryota; Metazoa; Arthropoda; Insecta; Diptera; Chironomidae.
CUGAUGGAGGACCGAAGCAAUUCUGACGUGCAAAUCGAUUGUCAGAAUUGGGCAUAGGGGCGAAAGACCAAACGAACCAUCUAGUAGCUGGUUCCUUCCGAAGUUUCCCUCAGGGUAGCUGG